Cygnus atratus (black swan) is the source of this 943-nucleotide long non-coding RNA. RefSeq lists it as uncharacterized. Lineage: Eukaryota; Metazoa; Chordata; Aves; Anseriformes; Anatidae. The record is from RefSeq and is a predicted model, not a curated record. The transcript has 4 exons.
GCUACUGUGCUCCCACGCAGUAUUCUCUAUCAUGUCACAGAGGUCUCAUUUAUCCACAGUGAAAAAUGGGCAUGAUGGCAUUGUUCAGUUUAGGCCAAGCUGUAGAUCACUUCUGUAGGUUUUUAGCUGGCUUGUUUUUCUUCUCCAUUGGCUCUGAUGUGUAAGUUGCAUUUUUGGCAAACGUGCACACUAUUUGAAACAGCAGAGCAAGCAUCCAGUGUGAAAAGUGUCAAAAUUAUCUCUCUUUUUAAAAGAAGAUGACUUUCCAUCUGUGUCACUUGGCGUCUUUAUUUGGCUGCUAGGAAAGAAGUCUUCUCCUUGCUUUCAAGACAGUGAACAUGGCACUUGAUCUCCUUGAUGACAGAACAGGUUUUGAUAAGGGCAGAAGUUUCCUAACAAUGUACUUCCAUGCUUCUAAAUGUUUUCAUGCUGGCAAUAACAUUUACUCUGUACUGUAGAGGUUCUUGUGACUGUGGGGAAGUGAACACGAAGAUUCAGAUGGCCCCUUUCAGUGCUACAGUCCUGAAGGCUUCACUUUUUAAAAAAAUCUUAUUGGAAUAUUUUCACAACCUAUUGGAAAGUGAGAAUCACCUUGGCUCAGAAAAGCAGCAAAACAACAUCUGGCAACAUUGAUGGAUUUUAUUAUGCUUGAUCAAAAUUUCAUCUUGCUGUUUGCAUUUCUGGCUCUGUAAAGUGUUUGUAUUAAUUACCUGAAUUCCAGUGUCAUUUAUAUUGUUAACAACAAUUGAGAUGCAGUUGUAUUAUCACUCAGGAUAUAAUAAUGCUUCCAAACAAUAAAAAAUAAAAGGGUAUGAGGGUAUGUUGUUGGUUUUAAUGAUCUUUACAACCUUUCAGUAUUAAAUAAAACAUUUCCACAGAACCCAUGUGAUGAACCCAUGAUUAAAUAUCCAUGAACCAAGAACCAAUAUCCAAGAACCCAUGA